AUUGAACGCUGGCGGCACGCCUAACACAUGCAAGUCGAGCGGUAGCAUGCUUAGUAGCAAUACUAAGUGAUGACAAGCGGCGGACGGGUGAGGAAUACGUAGGAAUCUACCCUCAAGCGGGGGACAACCAAGGGAAACUUUGGCUAAUACCGCAUAAUCUCGAGAGAGCAAAGCUGCCGUAAGGUGGCACUUGAGGAGGAGCCUGCGUCCGAUUAGCAGUUGGUGAGGUAAGAGCUCACCAAGGCGAUGAUCGGUAACUGGUCUGAGAGGACGACCAGUCACACUGGGACUGAGACACGGCCCAGACUCCUACGGGAGGCAGCAGUGGGAAUAUUGGACAAUGGGGCAACCUGAUCCAGCGAUGCCGCGUGGG
RNAcentral lists this ribosomal RNA (373 nucleotides) under uncultured bacterium. Its description in RNAcentral is "bacterial SSU rRNA". It matches the Rfam family "Bacterial small subunit ribosomal RNA", at positions 30 to 405 of the family's 1533-position model. The record is from RNAcentral.